Trichonephila clavipes is the source of this 73-nucleotide non-coding RNA. The record is from the annotation of a GenBank genome assembly. NCBI's taxonomy places the organism in Eukaryota, Metazoa, Arthropoda, Arachnida, Araneae, Nephilidae.
ACCCCUGUAGCACAAUAGAUAUUGCGUUGAACUUCUAAUUCAAAGGUUGUGGGUUAGAAUCCCAACUGGGAUG